Molecule: transfer RNA, 75 nt
Filed under: Gammaproteobacteria bacterium
Lineage: Bacteria; Pseudomonadati; Pseudomonadota; Gammaproteobacteria
Description: tRNA-Gln
Rfam family: tRNA
About the family: Transfer RNA (tRNA) molecules are approximately 80 nucleotides in length.
Source: RNAcentral
UGGGGCGUCGCCAAGCGGUAAGGCAACGGGUUUUGAUCCCGUCAUGCGUAGGUUCGAAUCCUUCCGCCCCAGCCA